Molecule: long non-coding RNA, 1053 nt
Organism: Sphaerodactylus townsendi
Lineage: Eukaryota; Metazoa; Chordata; Lepidosauria; Squamata; Sphaerodactylidae
Exons: 4
Source: RefSeq, a predicted model, not a curated record
GAAGUGCUGCCAUCUCUACUCCUGAAACCUUAACUUUUUUUUUUCCAUCAGUGAAUGAAAGUUAGUUGAGCCAGAGCUUUGUCCCAUACAUAAUGCAUCCAACCUAUUACUUUAUCAGGUCGCCUCUCUCCACUUGCCGAGUUAAUGAGAACCUCGAUCUUGCAACCCUCUAGUUUCUAGUGGCCAGCCUCCUGUGCUGCCAAUUACUAGGCCGGAAAUUUGAUUUCUUAUGCAUGUCAUCCGCAGUGAUGAACUGAAUGGCCAGCAAGUCCCAGUGAUGGAACAAGAACUUCUGGCUCAGCAACCUCACUACUGCAGAAGAACUGCAACAGCCCUGGAUGCUGAACAACUGAGCCAGUCCCUGGUGAAAGCCUCCAGUCAAGGCAGGCAGGAUGAAGAGACAGUAUGGAUGCUGCCUUUGGCAGGAGAAACCUAAAGGUGGAAGCAGGAUGAGGUGACUGAGAACGUGAGAGAGACCAGGGAGGAGAGGACGGCCCAGCGGGAGGGAACAGAAGCUGUAGUAGGUAAAGCACUGCAUCAAGAAAAAGCAGCAGAGUGCAUGUCUCCUCUGCAGGGCUGGUAGAAUCCCACAAAGACAGAUUCUCCAAAGACCAGACAGAGAGAGGACAAGUUCCAGACAGAGACAAAGGGAAAUCUCUUGAACUAUUAAAGCAGUUUGGAACAGAAUGGGUUGACUUGGAACUGGCAUCUUCAUAGCGGCCUUUGAGAAAACAUUUUAGAAGCUAACCAGUAUUCACCAACAGAACGUGUCAAAGUCCAAGAUAGCAAUGAUCCAAAUGAAGUUCGCGUUUGAUCCCAUGCAUAUGUUUGUAACAUCACUAUAUUGCUUGACACUACUAUCUCACAACACAAUUUGCUAAAAUGAAUUGUUUGGUAGAUAUAUAAAACUGUUGUGUAAACUUUUGAUGGAUUAUUCCCUUUGUGCUGAUAGGAAUGUGUAGAUGGGGAACUCUGCUGCUAGUUCAUUUUCCAUCUAAAAUAUAAGAAAUUAAGCCACCAAUCUUGUUUUUCUAUUGAAAUUCUUCAGGAUAU